Beta vulgaris subsp. vulgaris (sugar beet) is the source of this 138-nucleotide non-coding RNA. NCBI's taxonomy places the organism in Eukaryota, Viridiplantae, Streptophyta, Magnoliopsida, Caryophyllales, Amaranthaceae. The record is from Rfam.
GCAUGCUACUCAUUCCAACAAGAUGCAUCUUUCUUUUAGGGAGUUCAUUUCCUUAUUUACUCUACAGUUAAGCGUGUUUGGCUGUGAGUAGUCUAGGGAUGGGUGACCUUCUAGAAAUUUUCUCAGGGUGUGCAUGAC